UACGUAGGGAGCAAGCGUUGUUCGGAAUUAUUGGGCGUAAAGAGCGCGUAGGCGGUUCGGUAAGUCUGAUGUGAAAUCCCAGAGCUUAACUCUGGAACUGCAUUGGAUACUGCCGAGCUUGAGUGUGGGAGAGGAGAGUGGAAUUCCCAGUGUAGAGGUGAAAUUCGUAGAUAUUGGGAGGAACACCCGUGGCGAAGGCGGCUCUCUGGACCACAACUGACGCUGAGGCGCGAAAGCUAGGGUAGCAAACGGGAUUAGAUACCCCGGUAGUCCUAGCCGUAAACGAUGGGCACUAGGUGUUGGAGGUAUCGACCCCUCCAGUGCCGCAGCUAACGCAUUAAGUGCCCCGCCUGGGGAGUACGGUCGCAAGACUAAAACUCAAAGGAAUUGACGGGGGCCCGCACAAGCGGUGGAGCAUGUGGUUUAAUUCGACGCAACGCGAAGAACCUUACCUGGGCUUGACAUCCCUUGAAGGUGCUGGAAACAGUACCGUCCUUUCGGGGACAAGGUGACAGGUGCUGCAUGGCUGUCGUCAGCUCGUGUCGUGAGAUGUUGGGUUAAGUCCCGCAACGAGCGCAACCCUUACCCUUAGUUGCCAGCGAGUAAUGUCGGGAACUCUAAGGGAACUGCCGGUGAUAAACCGGAGGAAGGUGAGGAUGACGUCAAGUCCUCAUGGCCUUUAUGCCCAGGGCUACACACGUGCUACAAUGGCCGGUACAAAGAGUUGCAAGCCCGCGAGGGGGAGCCAAUCUCAAAAAGCCGGUCUCAGUUCAGAUUGUAGGCUGCAACUCGCCUACAUGAAGGCGGAAUCGCUAGUAAUCCCGGAUCAGCAUGCCGGGGUGAAUACGUUCCCGGGCCUUGUACACACCGCCCGUCACACCACGAAAGUCAGUUGUACCAGAAGUCACUGCGCCAACCCGCAAGGGGGGCAGGUGCCGAAGGUAUGAUUGGUGAUUGGGGUG
RNAcentral lists this ribosomal RNA (962 nucleotides) under uncultured bacterium. RNAcentral describes it as "bacterial SSU rRNA". It matches the Rfam family "Bacterial small subunit ribosomal RNA", at positions 524 to 1482 of the family's 1533-position model. The record is from RNAcentral.